CCCUUAGAUGUUCUGGGCCGCACGCGCGCUACACUGAUGCAUUCAACGAGCCUAUCCUUGACCGACAGGUCCGGGUAAUCUUUGAAUCUGCAUCGUGACGGGGAUAGAUUAUUGCAAUUAUUAAUCUUCAACGAGGAAUGCCUAGUAGGCGCAAGUCAUCAGCUUGCGUCGAUUACGUCCCUGCCCUUUGUACACACCGCCCGUCGCUACUACCGAUUGAAUGAUUUAGUGAGUACCAGGGACCGAGCGCUUUGGUUGGGUUUCCUUCCCUAGCGCUUGGGAACUGUCGCAAACUUGACCAUUUAGAGGAAGUAAAAGUCGUAACA
RNAcentral lists this ribosomal RNA (326 nucleotides) under uncultured eukaryote. Its description in RNAcentral is "partial 18S ribosomal RNA". It matches the Rfam family "Eukaryotic small subunit ribosomal RNA", at positions 1470 to 1796 of the family's 1831-position model. The record is from RNAcentral.